Molecule: long non-coding RNA, 1221 nt
Organism: Fundulus heteroclitus (mummichog)
Lineage: Eukaryota; Metazoa; Chordata; Actinopteri; Cyprinodontiformes; Fundulidae
Exons: 2
Source: RefSeq, a predicted model, not a curated record
AUGGGUCUUCCUCCUCCUUCUGAUGUAAAAAUACAACGAGACAAGCCAGGCCAGUAUAUCAAAGCUCCGCUUCAACACAUUUCUGCUCAGCUGCCUGCAUCCUGGCCCGUCAUCAGCUCUAACAUUAAGAGUUAAAGCGUUUUUAAAGCCAAAGCUAUGUGAAGGAGGCUGAGUCAUGCUGGGUCCUUUCUGGGCUUCCCCCUUCUCUGAUCCUCCGCUCCUCCCCCUCUGUGGUCUAGGCUCAUGCACUGGGUUCACCGCUGGUGGCGUGUUGGAACAUGCCUUGACUUGUUGUGCUGUCUGGCUGAAGCAGACAGAGAGAGAAAUAGAUAGAGGGAGAUAGAGAGAGAGUGGGGUAGAAGCCACAGAGAGAAAGAGAAGACGCUGGUGGUCAACUGGUACCUCUUGUGAAGUGACCCUCCAGAUUUUGGGGUGGAUGGAGGAGCUCCGCCGCUGCCUUGAUCCCUGGACUUCUAGGGGGUUGCCAAAGCAUCCCACCACCAAAGAUGCCGGGAAGGUGAGGUGCAAACAUCAGCGUCGCUGGAACCGAGGGGGUCAACGCGUGCGGCUAAAAGCGGCCAGGUUCCUGCUGAGAGGAAGCCGGCGGACAGACGGACGGUAGGCCGGUAGGCUGCUGUGGGUGUUUCUCUGGCAGUGUCUUAGCUGGUUGUUGUGAGGAGUGAGAACGAAGCAAUCAGCAAGUAUACUGCCGCAGAAAUUCUUCGCAAUACGAAGCCCCGGGAUCGACGAUGGUCACGAGGCGCAGAGAGGAGCAAAGAUUGUCACGGCGGAGGACGCUGGGAAACGGACCCGGCUGCGGCUGUAGGUCUGAAGUGGGAACAGGAAGAGCUGAAGGCAGACCGACAGAGCCUGGCCUGUUUGUUACCAACAUUUCCAUGUGGAUCGAGGCACCAAGCCUCCUAACUCUGUAGCUCCAUGAUCUUCUGCUGCCAUCUUGUGACUGAAAGCAACCUCUCCGCAUGCUUUUCUUCAUUCAGCCUACCUUAAUCUUUUAUAGCGUCUAUUGUCAAAAUGCAUUCGCGUGGCUUAAUAGGCCCAGAUUUCUUGUCUUCAGUUGCAAGCGCAUCUUCCUUUGUGAGCAAUUUUAAUUUAAUUAGUCAAUUUGACCAAUUUAUUAGCUGCUGCCCAAUAAUUUCUUCGUGCUAGUUAUUGUAAUUGUGAAAAGGUGUAAAUAAAUGUUUCGUAAUACCUGAUUCAUCA